UGAGGAAUAUUGGUCAAUGGACGGAAGUCUGAACCAGCCAAGUAGCGUGCAGGAUGACGGCCCUAUGGGUUGUAAACUGCUUUUGUAUGGGGAUAAAGUUAGGGACGUGUCCCUAUUUGCAGGUACCAUACGAAUAAGGACUGGCUAAUUCCGUGCCAGCAGCCGCGGUAAUACGGAAGGUCCAGGCGUUAUCCGGAUUUAUUGGGUUUAAAGGGAGCGUAGGCUGGAGAUUAAGUGUGUUGUGAAAUGUAGACGCUCAACGUCUGAAUUGCAGCGCAUACUGGUUUCCUUGAGUACGCACAACGUUGGCGGAAUUCGUCGUGUAGCGGUAAAAUGCUUAGAUAUGACGAAGAACUCCGAUUGCGAAGGCAGCUGACGGGAGCGCAACUGACGCUUAAGCUCGAAGGUGCGGGUAUCAAACAGG
RNAcentral lists this ribosomal RNA (424 nucleotides) under Verrucomicrobiota bacterium. RNAcentral describes it as "Verrucomicrobia bacterium partial 16S ribosomal RNA". It matches the Rfam family "Bacterial small subunit ribosomal RNA", at positions 355 to 776 of the family's 1533-position model. Lineage: Bacteria; Pseudomonadati; Verrucomicrobiota. The record is from RNAcentral.